GUGCAAUAACAACAAAGAUUUUUUUCUCAAAAACUCUGCACCUACGACACUAAACAAAAACUGGACAGCAGAGAAAAAAAAAUUAUAUAGAUAUUCAAAGUUAAAAUAAAUCCUCGCAACAUUUUUUUUCACUUUUCCUACUUUUCUUACUUUCUUUAAUCUUAAUAAACCACUUCCAAUGUUCAACUACCCAAUCAAAAUGCUCCCAGCUUUAUAACCCUGCACUCAUUCUAAUUAAUAUCAAUCAUACACCAAUUGUAUUCCAAAAGUUAACUUACCAACCCAUUCACUUGGUAAUUUCCCAAUGCUUCAUACAAUUAUAUCACCUUUACUAAAAUAAUUCCAUACCCUUAAUAUCAUCAUAUACCAUGUUAUAUACCAACCAAUUCAAUAUCCAUUCAAAUACAUGUCAAUUCUUAAAUUUCAUAACAGAGCAUACAUCAUUUAUAUAAUCCAUCCAACAUUAAUUCUUGAAACUUUCUUCAUACGUACACCAACUUCCACAACAUAUUUAACCAUUAAAAUAUAAUCACAAUCUCAUUCAAAUUCUCUAAACAAUGCACUCAAAAUC
This 571-nucleotide long non-coding RNA is filed under the name Vigna radiata. Its description in RNAcentral is "long non-coding RNA (VRAD_LNC001733)". Lineage: Eukaryota; Viridiplantae; Streptophyta; Magnoliopsida; Fabales; Fabaceae. The record is from RNAcentral.